AACGAACGCUGGCGGCAUGCCUAACACAUGCAAGUCGAACGAACCCUUCGGGGUUAGUGGCGCACGGGUGCGUAACGCGUGGGAAUCUGCCCUUGGCUUCGGAAUAACAGUUAGAAAUGACUGCUAAUACCGGAUGAUGUCCCCCUGAGAGAUCUUGGGGACCAAAGAUUUAUCGGCCAGGGAUGAGCCCGCGUAGGAUUAGGUAGUUGGUGGGGUAAAGGCCUACCAAGCCGACGAUCCUUAGCUGGUCUGAGAGGAUGAUCAGCCACACUGGGACUGAGACACGGCCCAGACUCCUACGGGAGGCAGCAGUGGGGAAUAUUGGACAAUGGGGGGAACCCUGAUCCAGCAAUGCCGCGUGAGUGAUGAAGGCCUUAGGGUUGUAAAGCUCUUUUACCAGGGAUGAUAAUGACAGUACCUGGAGAAUAAGCUCCGGCUAACUCCGUGCCAGCCGCCGCGGUAA
Molecule: ribosomal RNA, 463 nt
Filed under: uncultured bacterium
Lineage: Bacteria
Description: partial 16S ribosomal RNA
Rfam family: Bacterial small subunit ribosomal RNA
Source: RNAcentral